CUGGUUGAUCCUGCCAGUAGUCAUAMGCUUGUCUCAAAGAUUAAGCCAUGCAUGUCUAAGUAUAAGCAAUUUAUACAGUGAAACUGCGAAUGGCUCAUUAAAUCAGUUACCGUUUAUUUGAUAGUACCUUACUACUUGGAUAACCGUGGUAAUUCUAGAGCUAAUACAUGCUUAAAAUCCCGACUGUUUGGAAGGGAUGUAUUUAUUAGAUAAAAAAUCAAUGUCUUCGGACUCUUUGAUGAUUCAUAAUAACUUUUCGAAUCGCAUGGCCUUGUGCUGGCGAUGGUUCAUUCAAAUUUCUGCCCUAUCAACUUUCGAUGGUAGGAUAGUGGCCUACCAUGGUUUCAACGGGUAACGGGGAAUAAGGGUUCGAUUCCGGAGAGGGAGCCUGAGAAACGGCUACCACAUCCAAGGAAGGCAGCAGGCGCGCAAAUUGCCCAAUCCCGACACGGGGAGGUAGUGACAAUAAAUAACGAUACAGGGCCUUUCGGGUCUUGUAAUUGGAAUGAGUACAAUGUAAAUACCUUAACGAGGAACAAUUGGAGGGCAAGUCUGGU
This 557-nucleotide ribosomal RNA is filed under the name uncultured eukaryote. RNAcentral's name for it is "SSU rRNA". It matches the Rfam family "Eukaryotic small subunit ribosomal RNA", at positions 4 to 567 of the family's 1831-position model. The record is from RNAcentral.